This 504-nucleotide ribosomal RNA is filed under the name uncultured bacterium. Its description in RNAcentral is "bacterial SSU rRNA". It matches the Rfam family "Bacterial small subunit ribosomal RNA", at positions 8 to 526 of the family's 1533-position model. The record is from RNAcentral.
AGAGUUUGAUCAUGGCUCAGGACGAACGCUGGCGGCGUGCUUAACACAUGCAAGUCGAACGGAAAGGCCCUUUCGGGGGUACUCGAGUGGCGAACGGGUGAGUAACACGUGGGUGAUCUGCCCUGCACUUUGGGAUAAGCCUGGGAAACUGGGUCUAAUACCGAAUACACCUUGCUGGUUGCAUGACUGGUUGGGGAAAGCUUUUGCGGUGUGGGAUGGGCCCGCGGCCUAUCAGCUUGUUGGUGGGGUGAUGGCCUACCAAGGCGACGACGGGUAGCCGGCCUGAGAGGGUGUCCGGCCACACUGGGACUGAGAUACGGCCCAGACUCCUACGGGAGGCAGCAGUGGGGAAUAUUGCACAAUGGGCGCAAGCCUGAUGCAGCGACGCCGCGUGAGGGAUGACGGCCUUCGGGUUGUAAACCUCUUUCAGUACCGACGAAGCGCGAGUGACGGUAGGUACAGAAGAAGCACCGGCCAACUACGUGCCAGCAGCGGCGGUAAUAC